GAGAUAAUACCUGAUAGAGGAUAAAUACUGGAAGGUUUUAUUCUUCAAAGCUUCGGCACCUGAGGAUGGGACUGCGUCGGAUUAGCUUGUUGUCGGGAUAAUUACCCGACAAGGCGAUAAUCCGUACGGGUUGUGAGAGCAAUAGCCCGGAGAUGGAUUCUGAGACAUGAAUCCAGGUCCUACGGGACGCAGCAGGCGCGAAACCUUCACAAUGCCUGAAAGGGUGAUGAGGGAACUCUGAGUGACUUCGCAAUGCGAAGUCUUUUGCCAAGUGCAAAAAGCUCGGUGAAUAAGUGGUGGGCAAGACAGUUGCCAGCCGCCGCGGUAAUAACUGCGCCACGAGUGGUGAUCUCGUUUAUUGGGCUUAAAGCGUUCGUAGCCGGUUUUAUAAGCAUCUGGUGGAAUCCGAUAGUAAACUAUUGGGCUGGCUAGGUGUACUGUAAGACUAGGGACCGGUAGGGGCCGGGAGUACUCCUAGGGUAGGGGUUAAAUCCUUUAAUCCUAGGGGGACUACCAGUGGCGAAGGCGCCCGGCUAGAACGGGUCCGACGGUGAGGGACGAAAGCUGGGGGAGCGAUCCGGAUUAGAUACCCGGGUAGUCCCAGCUGUAAACGAUGCCCGCUUGGUGUGGUGAAACUUUCGUGGU
RNAcentral lists this ribosomal RNA (645 nucleotides) under uncultured archaeon. Its description in RNAcentral is "bacterial SSU rRNA". It matches the Rfam family "Archaeal small subunit ribosomal RNA", at positions 143 to 791 of the family's 1478-position model. The record is from RNAcentral.